RNAcentral lists this long non-coding RNA (464 nucleotides) under Fukomys damarensis (Damara mole-rat). Its description in RNAcentral is "lncRNA (ENSFDAG00000027426.1)". Lineage: Eukaryota; Metazoa; Chordata; Mammalia; Rodentia; Bathyergidae. The record is from RNAcentral.
AUUGCGUCUCUGUAAGGGGUCCUUAGGUCUCAGAGCUACACAGGGGCUAAAAAAGAAAAGGCAGAAACUUCACUUCUUGACAAAUUAUGUUCCUGUCUUUAGCCUGGUUGCAUAACAGAAGCAGAAGGAAAUGGUGGGGCAGAUAGAGAACACGCGGGAGCCCAUGUGAUAAUGACAGCACCUCACUAACACUCAUAGGCAGAUUGCCGAUGAAUACGGGUGCAUUAUUAGGAAAUCUGAGGGAGAGGCUAUCGGAGAAGCAUCUUCAUCUUUAAAGAUAGAAACAGAGAAGAAAAGAAAGGAGAUGUCGAGCACACACACUUCAGCCUCCAGCACAGAUCCUUUGGCCUCCUGACACGGACCUGCAACAGGCACUCCAUUGAGCUCCAGGCUUCAGCUGGAUCCUUCAGACCUUCAGGACAAAGACAGACUACCUGACCCUGUAAAGUGCCCGCUAUCAGCCA